ACUCCUACGGGAGGCAGCAGUGAGGAAUAUUGGACAAUGGAGGCAACUCUGUACCAGCCAUGCCGCGUGCAGGAUGACUGCCCUAUGGGUUGUAAACUGCUUUUAUACAGGAAGAAACCUUUUCACGUGUGAGUAACGCUGACGGAUACUGUAAGAAUAAGGAUCGGCUAACUNCGNGCCANCAGACUC
RNAcentral lists this ribosomal RNA (189 nucleotides) under uncultured Bacteroidota bacterium. Its description in RNAcentral is "uncultured Bacteroidetes bacterium partial 16S ribosomal RNA". It matches the Rfam family "Bacterial small subunit ribosomal RNA", at positions 335 to 518 of the family's 1533-position model. The record is from RNAcentral. Lineage: Bacteria; Pseudomonadati; Bacteroidota.